RNAcentral lists this ribosomal RNA (293 nucleotides) under uncultured bacterium. RNAcentral describes it as "partial 16S ribosomal RNA". It matches the Rfam family "Bacterial small subunit ribosomal RNA", at positions 775 to 1067 of the family's 1533-position model. The record is from RNAcentral.
GGAUUAGAUACCCUGGUAGUCCACGCCCUAAACGAUGGGCACUAAGUGUCGGCGGGUUACCGCCGGUGCCGCAGCUAACGCAGUAAGUGCCCCGCCUGGGAAGUACGGCCGCAAGGUUGAAACUCAAAGGAAUUGACGGGGGCCCGCACAAGCGGUGGAGCAUGUGGUUUAAUUCGACGCAACGCGAAGAACCUUACCCAGGUUGGACAUGCAGGUAGUAAGAACCUGAAAGGGGGAUGAGCCCGCAAGGGCAGCCUGCUCAGGUGCUGCAUGGCUGUCGUCAGCUCGUGCCG